Molecule: ribosomal RNA, 250 nt
Filed under: uncultured prokaryote
Description: partial 16S ribosomal RNA
Rfam family: Bacterial small subunit ribosomal RNA
Source: RNAcentral
UACGGAGGAUACGAGCGUUAUCCGGAUUUAUUGGGUUUAAAGGGUGCGUAGGUGGCAGAUUAAGUCAGUGGUGAAAAGCUGUGGCUCAACCAUAGUCUUGCCGUUGAAACUGGUUUGCUUGAGUACAGUUGAUGUAGGCGGAAUGCGUAGUGUAGCGGUGAAAUGCAUAGAUAUUACGCAGAACUCCGAUUGCGAAGGCAGCUUACAAAAGUGUAACUGACACUGAUGCACGAAAGCGUGGGUAUCAAAC